UGCCCGGUCGUCUAAGGGUAGGACAGCGGUUUUUGGUACCGUACGUGGGGGUUCGAAUCCUCCCCGGGCAA
This 71-nucleotide transfer RNA is filed under the name Bacteroidetes bacterium HLUCCA01. RNAcentral describes it as "tRNA-Gln". It matches the Rfam family "tRNA". From Rfam's summary of the family: Transfer RNA (tRNA) molecules are approximately 80 nucleotides in length. Their secondary structure includes four short double-helical elements and three loops (D, anti-codon, and T loops). Further hydrogen bonds mediate the characteristic L-shaped molecular structure. tRNAs have two regions of fundamental functional importance: the anti-codon, which is responsible for specific mRNA codon recognition, and the 3' end, to which the tRNAs corresponding amino acid is attached (by aminoacyl-tRNA synthetases). tRNAs cope with the degeneracy of the genetic code in two manners: having more than one tRNA (with a specific anti-codon) for a particular amino acid; and 'wobble' base-pairing, i.e. permitting non-standard base-pairing at the 3rd anti-codon position. The record is from RNAcentral. Lineage: Bacteria; Pseudomonadati; Bacteroidota.